Molecule: ribosomal RNA, 667 nt
Filed under: Penicillium commune
Lineage: Eukaryota; Fungi; Ascomycota; Eurotiomycetes; Eurotiales; Aspergillaceae
Description: SSU rRNA
Rfam family: Eukaryotic small subunit ribosomal RNA
Source: RNAcentral
AUAAUAACUUAACGAAUCGCAUGGCCUUGCGCCGGCGAUGGUUCAUUCAAAUUUCUGCCCUAUCAACUUUCGAUGGUAGGAUAGUGGCCUACCAUGGUGGCAACGGGUAACGGGGAAUUAGGGUUCGAUUCCGGAGAGGGAGCCUGAGAAACGGCUACCACAUCCAAGGAAGGCAGCAGGCGCGCAAAUUACCCAAUCCCGAUACGGGGAGGUAGUGACAAUAAAUACUGAUACGGGGCUCUUUUGGGUCUCGUAAUUGGAAUGAGAACAAUUUAAAUCCCUUAACGAGGAACAAUUGGAGGGCAAGUCUGGUGCCAGCAGCCGCGGUAAUUCCAGCUCCAAUAGCGUAUAUUAAAGUUGUUGCAGUUAAAAAGCUCGUAGUUGAACCUUGGGUCUGGCUGGCCGGUCCGCCUCACCGCGAGUACUGGUCCGGCUGGACCUUUCCUUCUGGGGAACCUCAUGGCCUUCACUGGCUGUGGGGGGAACCAGGACUUUUACUGUGAAAAAAUUAGAGUGUUCAAAGCAGGCCUUUGCUCGAAUACAUUAGCAUGGAAUAAUAGAAUAGGACGUGUGGUUCUAUUUUGUUGGUUUCUAGGACCGCCGUAAUGAUUAAUAGGGAUAGUCGGGGGCGUCAGUAUUCAGCUGUCAGAGGUGAAAUUCUUGGAUU